RNAcentral lists this ribosomal RNA (253 nucleotides) under uncultured bacterium. RNAcentral's name for it is "partial 16S ribosomal RNA". It matches the Rfam family "Bacterial small subunit ribosomal RNA", at positions 524 to 776 of the family's 1533-position model. The record is from RNAcentral.
UACGUAGGGUGCGAGCGUUGUCCGGAAUUAUUGGGCGUAAAGAGCUCGUAGGCGGUUUGUCGCGUCUGCUGUGAAAACUCGGGGCUUAACCCCGGGCCUGCAGUGGGUACGGGCAGACUAGAGUGCGGUAGGGGAGACUGGAAUUCCUGGUGUAGCGGUGAAAUGCGCAGAUAUCAGGAGGAACACCGGUGGCGAAGGCGGGUCUCUGGGCCACUACUGACGCUGAGAAGCGAAAGCAUGGGGAGCGAACAGG